GAUGAAGAACGUAGCGAAAUGCGAUAAGUAAUGUGAAUUGCAGAAUUCAGUGAAUCAUCGAAUCUUUGAACGCACCUUGCGCUCCUUGGUAUUCCGAGGAGCAUGCCUGUUUGAGUGUCAUUAAUAUAUCAACCUUCACUUGUUGAAUGGUUUGGAUGUGGGGGUUUGCUGGUCUCUUAAAGGGUUCAGCUCCUCUAAAAUGCAUUAGCAGAACAAUCUGUUCAUUGGUGUGAUAACUAUCUACGCUCUUGAAUAAGAUGCAGUUCAGCUUUCUAACUGUCCUUGGACAAUUUAUCAUUUAUGUGACCUCAAAUCAGGUAGGACUACCCGCUGAACUUAAGCAUAUCAUAAGCGGAGGA
RNAcentral lists this unclassified non-coding RNA (359 nucleotides) under soil metagenome. Its description in RNAcentral is "partial contains 5.8S ribosomal RNA, internal transcribed spacer 2, and large subunit ribosomal RNA". The stretch from base 1 to 120 matches the Rfam family "5.8S ribosomal RNA", at positions 35 to 154 of the family's 154-position model. The record is from RNAcentral.